This 1352-nucleotide ribosomal RNA is filed under the name metagenome. RNAcentral describes it as "bacterial LSU rRNA". It matches the Rfam family "Bacterial large subunit ribosomal RNA", at positions 1564 to 2925 of the family's 2925-position model. The record is from RNAcentral.
CGAGUCCGAGUCUCCACGGAGACGAAGUGGCGGUCAUCCAGCUUCCUAGAAAAGCUCUAACCACGUUAAUCUUUAGUUGCCUGUACCCGAAACCGACACAGGUAGGGGGGUAGAGAAUACCAAGGGGCGCGAGAUAACUCUCUCUAAGGAACUCGGCAAAAUGACCCCGUAACUUCGGGAGAAGGGGUACCACUGAGAAGUGGUCGCAGUGAAGAGGCCCAGGCGACUGUUUACCAAAAACACAGGUCUCCGCCAAGUCGCAAGACGAAGUAUGGGGGCUGACGCCUGCCCAGUGCCGGAAGGUUAAGGAAGUGGGUUAGGGAUUCGUCCCGAAGCUGACGACUGAAGCCCCGGUGAACGGCGGCCGUAACUAUAACGGUCCUAAGGUAGCGAAAUUCCUUGUCGGGUAAGUUCCGACCCGCACGAAAGGCGUAACGAUCUGGGCGCUGUCUCGGAGAGAGGCUCGGCGAAAUAGGAAUGUCUGUGAAGAUACGGACUACCUGCACCUGGACAGAAAGACCCUAUGAAGCUUUACUGUAGCUUGGAAUUGGGUUCGGGCUUGGUUUGCGCAGGAUAGGUGGGAGGCGAAGAAGAUUUGCUUGUGGGUGAAUCUGAGCCAACGGUGAGAUACCACUCUAACCAGGCUAGAAUUCUAACUUCAACCCGUCAACCGGGGGAAGGACAGUUUCAGGUGGGCAGUUUGACUGGGGCGGUCGCCUCCUAAAAGAUAACGGAGGCGCACAAAGGUUCCCUCAGGCUGGUUGGAAAUCAGCCAACGAGUGCAAAGGCAGAAGGGAGCUUGACUGCGAGACCUACAAGUCAAGCAGGGUGGAAACACGGUCUUAGUGAUCCGACGGCACCGAGUGGAAGGGCCGUCGCUCAACGGAUAAAAGUUACUCUAGGAUAACAGGCUGAUCUCCCCCAAGAGUUCACAUCGACGGGGAGGUUUGGCACCUCGAUGUCGGCUCAUCGCAACCUGGGGCGGAAGUACGUCCCAAGGGUUGGGCUGUUCGCCCAUUAAAGCGGUACGUGAGCUGGGUUCAGAACGUCGUGAGACAGUUCGGUCCAUAUCCGGUGUAGGCGCAAGAACAUUGAGAGGAGUCUUCCUUAGUACGAGAGGACCGGGAAGAACGCACCGCUGGUGUACCUGUUAUCGUGCCAACGGUAAACGCAGGGUAGCCAAGUGCGGAGUGGAUAACCGCUGAAAGCAUCUAAGUGGGAAGCCCACCUCAAGAUGAGUGUUCUCAUGGAGUAAUCCAGUAAGGUCACGGGAAGACGACCCGUUGAUAGGCGGUAGGUGGAAGUUCAGCAAUGGAUGAAGCCGAGCCGUACUAACAGACCGAGGGCUUGAC